AUUGAACGCUGGCGGCAUGCUUUACACAUGCAAGUCGAACGGCAGCGCGGGCUUCGGCCUGGCGGCGAGUGGCGAACGGGUGAGUAAUGCAUCGGAACGUGCCCAGUAGUGGGGGAUAGCGCGGCGAAAGCCGGGUUAAUACCGCAUACGACCUGAGGGUGAAAGCGGGGGACCGAAAGGCCUCGCGCUAUUGGAGCGGCCGAUGUCGGAUUAGCUAGUUGGUGGGGUAAAGGCUUACCAAGGCGACGAUCCGUAGCUGGUCUGAGAGGACGACCAGCCACACUGGGACUGAGACACGGCCCAGACUCCUACGGGAGGCAGCAGUGGGGAAUUUUGGACAAUGGGGGCAACCCUGAUCCAGCCAUGCCGCGUGCGGGAAGAAGGUCUUCGGGUUGUAAACCGCUUUUGUUCGGGAAGAAAUCCUCUGGGCUAAUACCCCGGGGGGAUGACGUUACCGGAAGAAUAAGCACCGGCUAACUACGUG
Molecule: ribosomal RNA, 484 nt
Filed under: uncultured bacterium
Lineage: Bacteria
Description: partial 16S ribosomal RNA
Rfam family: Bacterial small subunit ribosomal RNA
Source: RNAcentral